CGGCCCCGCCGGCCUGGCGCGCAGUCCGAGCCACUCAGAGAGCCCGGCGGCCGACACCCAGGGGCUCUACAAUUAAUACCCCGCGCCUGCCCGCCGGCCGGGACUCGUGCGCCGGCUGUCGGGGACGGAGGCGCCCGGUCCGCCCUGACGAGCUCGCCACUGGCUCUGCUCCGGCGGCGACGGCGACAGUGGCCCGGGCCGACUCUCCCGGGGACCCCACCUCCCCCAGAGCCAGCUUGGGCAGGGGAUCGUGCCUCCACACCGAGGUCCCUCGCUUGUGUGCGCCCCCGGCCCGGGCCCGGCAGGUGGGCGAGGAGCGCGGGAGCUGCCGAGGCUCGGCAGGAGCGCGCGGAGAAGAUUCUGGCUAUAUUGGAGAUUGGUUGCUUUCUAAAACGGAAGGAGAAGCCCAUGAAGAGAUGGUGGAUUCGCAUUGAGUUUUGACUGGCGGAAUAAAAGAGAGAGUUCAAGUGGAUGGUGUUGAGGACUUGAAACGCUGAGAUAUGAUGAUUUUGAAGUCAUUUCACAUUUGAAGCCAUGAUUUAAAUAUCAGCGUUAAGGUAAGUGUUGAGGAAAGAAAUAGAACACUUUUGUGGGUAACACG
Molecule: long non-coding RNA, 601 nt
Filed under: Saimiri boliviensis boliviensis (Bolivian squirrel monkey)
Lineage: Eukaryota; Metazoa; Chordata; Mammalia; Primates; Cebidae
Description: lncRNA (ENSSBOG00000036602.1)
Source: RNAcentral